This 1224-nucleotide ribosomal RNA is filed under the name Saccharomyces cerevisiae (brewer's yeast). Lineage: Eukaryota; Fungi; Ascomycota; Saccharomycetes; Saccharomycetales; Saccharomycetaceae. The record is from RNAcentral.
AUGAAAUUAAAAUUAUUAAAUAUAAUUUUAUCAAUAAUAAAUAAACUUAAUAAUAAUAAUAAUAUUAUUAUUAAUAAUCUAUUAGAUUCAUUAAUAAAUAAGAAAUUAUUAUUAAAGAAUAUAUUAUUAGAUAUAAAUAAUAAAAAAAUAAAUAAUAUAAAAAGAAUAUUAAAUAAUAAUAAUAUAAACCCCGCGGGCGCCAAUCCGGUUGUUCACCGGAUUGGUCCCGCGGGGAAUAUUAAUAAUAAAUUACAACAUUUAAAUAAUAUAAAUAAUUGAAAUCUACAAAUUUAUAAUUAUAAUAAAAAUAUAGAAAUUAUAAAUACUAUAAAUGAUAAAUUAAUUAAUAAAUUAUUAUAUAAAAUAAUAACUUUAAAAUUAAAUAAUAUAAAUAUUAAUAAAAUUAUUAUAAGUAAACUUAUUAAUCAACAUAGUUUAAAUAAAUUAAAUAUUAAAUUUUAUUAUUAUAAUAAUGAUAUUAAUAAUAAUAAUAAUAAUAAUAAUAAUAAUAAUAAUUAUUAUAUAAAUAUAAUAAAUAAAUUAAUAAAUAUUAUAAAUAAUAAUAUAAAUAAUAAUUUAUGUAAUAUUUUAAGUUAUUAUUAUAAUAAAAAAGUAACUAUUGAACCUAUUAAAUUAUCAUAUAUUUAUUUAAAUAGUGAUAUUUUUAGUAAAUAUAUUAGUUUAAAUGAUAUAGAUAAAUAUAAUAAUGGUAUCUUAACUAAUUAUCAACGUAUAUUAAAUAAUAUUAUGCCUAAAUUAAAUGAUCAUAAUAUUUCUAUAAAUUAUAUUAAUAAUAUUAAUAAUAUUAAUAAUAAUAAAUAUAAUAAUAUAAUUAAUUUAUUAAAUAAUAAUAAUAAUAAUAAUAAUAAUAAUAAUAAUAUUAAUAAUAAUAAUAAUUAUAAUAAUAAUAAUAAUAAUUAUAUUGGUAAUAUUAAUAAUAUUUAUAAUAAUAUAACUAUUGAUAAUAUUCCUAUAGAUAUUUUAAUAUAUAAAUAUUUAGUUGGUUGAUCUAUUAAAUUUAAAGGUAGAUUAAGUAAUAAUAAUGGUAGAACUAGUACACUUAAUUUAUUAAAUGGUACUUUUAAUAAUAAAAAAUAUUUAUGAAGUAAUAUUAAUAAUAAUUAUAAAUUAAAUUAUAUCCCUUCUAAUCAUAAUUUAUAUAAUAAUUCUAAUAUUAAUAAAAAUGGUAAAUAUAAUAUUAAAGUUAAAUUAAACUUUAUUUAA